CAUUUAUGUAUUCCGACAUACGAUGAUCCUCAGUGCAUAUGCGCAGUCGCAGCAAGAGCCGGAAGAGACGUCUUUGUAAUAAACUUCUGUGAAGGUAACAGCUUCAUAAACUUUGAACUUUGUGAAGACAAUGUCUUAAAAGCAACAAAAGUCAACGACAUGUAAUACAAGAUAUUUUUUCCAACUGGCACGUCUUUGUCCAUUUAUAUUCUGAAGUGGAGUGGUCAUUUUAACAUCGACAUUGACAUUUUCCCCACAGUUAUUGACAUAGAAAAUGUAGACGGUUUAUGUGGAUAUUUUGAUGGUGCCACAGAAAAUGACCUGAGGUGGCGAAACGGUUCUGUUACAGAUGAGGCUGGUUUCAUAUAUCCAAACGACUUCUCUAAUUCUUGGAGAGUAAGAGAUAAUGAAAACUUAUUUAACGGUGAUGCCGACGUUUACGAUAAUUUGGAGUCUUUAUCAACCAUAUCAGUGCCGCAUUGUACUUGUACGGAAGAUG
Molecule: long non-coding RNA, 499 nt
Organism: Saccostrea cuccullata (small rock oyster)
Lineage: Eukaryota; Metazoa; Mollusca; Bivalvia; Ostreida; Ostreidae
Exons: 3
Source: RefSeq, a predicted model, not a curated record